GGGUGUGUGGCUCUGUGGUAGAGCACUUGCCUAGCACACAUGGGGCCUUGGGUUCUAUGCCCAGCAUUGCCA
RNAcentral lists this transfer RNA (72 nucleotides) under Marmota marmota marmota (Alpine marmot). It matches the Rfam family "tRNA". Rfam says of the family: Transfer RNA (tRNA) molecules are approximately 80 nucleotides in length. Their secondary structure includes four short double-helical elements and three loops (D, anti-codon, and T loops). Lineage: Eukaryota; Metazoa; Chordata; Mammalia; Rodentia; Sciuridae. RNAcentral also lists the same sequence under 4 other names. The record is from Rfam by way of RNAcentral.